AACGAACGCUGGCGGCAUGCCUAACACAUGCAAGUCGAACGAGACCUUCGGGCCUAGUGGCGCACGGGUGCGUAACCCGUGGGAACAUGCCCUUAGGUUCGGAAUAACUCCCCGAAAGGGGUGCUAAUACCGGAUAAUGUCUUCGGACCAAAGAUUUAUCGCCUUUGGAUGGGCCCGCGUUGGAUUAGCUAGUUGGUAGGGUAAAAGCCUACCAAGGCGACGAUCCAUAGCUGGUCUGAGAGGAUGAUCAGCCACACUGGGACUGAGACACGGCCCAGACUCCUACGGGAGGCAGCAGUAGGGAAUAUUGGACAAUGGACGAAAGCCUGAUCCAGCAAUGCCGCGUGAGUGAUGAAGGCCUUAGGGUUGUAAAGCUCUUUGACCCGGGAUGAUAAUGACAGUACCGGGAGAAAAAGCUCCGGCUAACUCCGUG
Molecule: ribosomal RNA, 433 nt
Filed under: uncultured bacterium
Lineage: Bacteria
Description: partial 16S ribosomal RNA
Rfam family: Bacterial small subunit ribosomal RNA
Source: RNAcentral